AAUAUGGUGUUUGGGUAUCCAAGUGAAAGAAUUGAAGCAGGGAAAGUCCAAGUCAUGGAGAUCACUGAGAAGGCUAUUGGAAACAUCCAAGUCAUCGUAGACAAGCUCAUGAAUGAAGUGCUAAAGCUCCACCACUUCUACACUCUCCACUGAACUGCUAGAGCUGAGAAUUGGCAAACAACACUGCUAUAUUUAGGCUUCUGGCUCGCCUGGGUUUUUACUGGGACAUCGGAAGGCAGGAGAAAAAGAGACCGUUAAUGCUUCUGGGUCUUGAAGGUGGCGGCCGAGGCGGAGCAGCAGAGAUGCGGCGAUUUCAGACUCCAGCAGCCCAGGCAAGGCUGCGUGUUUCCACCUGUUCAGCCCUUGUGAAGAAGGCGCUUCCUUUAGCGGAAGUGGCCACAACUGCACAGCGAACAGCACGUCAACAGGUGCAGGCCAGCGCCUUCUCAUGGUCUGCUCACAACAUCAGCAGCUUCUCGGCUCUGAGAGCUUUCCUGGUUUGCCAUUUUGUAACCCCAGCCGAGUCCCUACCCCCUUUUCAUGGGGUAGUCCUUUCCACUGCAUUGUAACCAAUUGGGUUGAAUAAAAUUCUGUCUAUUUGAAAUACCUAGAAUGGUUGAUAGGACCCUGACUGAUAGGAUGGGAAGAAUUCUAGCUCUUAGUCUAUAAAUGGCAACUUUGGGGGUCCUAGAAGAUCUUCAGACUGGAGCAUGGUGUGACAAGAGGACCACCAUAUGACAAGGGGCCAGACUGCAGGCAGACGCCAGAGAACCAAGAAUCUUGGGAUGAUUUUAAUAUUCCACUGGGGAUGAACACCAGAUCUAGUGUACGAGUGUAAGUGUGUAUGUGUGUGCAUGAGCAAGGUUAUCUAAAUAAAGAUGAUCAUAUAAGUACUGCACACUAACCAACUGUGCCACUGGAGAACCUAUUCUACUAAGAUGAAGUAUCACAAGAAUGGAAAAACAAGCA
Microcebus murinus (gray mouse lemur) is the source of this 969-nucleotide non-coding RNA. The record is from RefSeq and is a predicted model, not a curated record. NCBI's taxonomy places the organism in Eukaryota, Metazoa, Chordata, Mammalia, Primates, Cheirogaleidae.